This 339-nucleotide unclassified non-coding RNA is filed under the name rhizosphere metagenome. Its description in RNAcentral is "partial ribosomal RNA internal transcribed spacer region". The record is from RNAcentral.
GUAGGUGAACCUGCGGAAGGAUCAUUAACACGAUACUUAUCUAUUUAUUCACUCACCGCGAACUUUUCCCCUCCCUAGCAGUAUCUCUAUUGUACCAAUAUAUACUAUUAGGCUACCGUACUUAAUGUAUUAUUUUUAUAAUACCAUUAUUUAUUUAUUUAUUUUUACCCCAUUCAAUAACUUUUUGUUCUCUGCUCUGUCCUGUUCACACAGGAUGCCAGCGAUCAAAACACACACUAAAAAACCAUAUUAUCUUUGAAAAAGGAUUAUGUUUUUUUUCUAUUACGAAAUGAUAGGAAGUUUAUAAAACAACUCUUAGCAAUGGAUAUCUUGGUUCUC